Molecule: ribosomal RNA, 403 nt
Filed under: uncultured bacterium
Lineage: Bacteria
Description: partial 16S ribosomal RNA
Rfam family: Bacterial small subunit ribosomal RNA
Source: RNAcentral
GACGAACGCUGGCGGCGUGCUUAACACAUGCAAGUCGAACGAGUGGCGGACGGGUGAGUAAUGUAUGGGGACUGCCCGAUAGAGGGGGAUAACUACUGGAAACGGUGGCUAAUACCGCAUACUAUCGGAUAACCCAUAUGGGAUUAGCUAGUAGGUGGGGUAAAGGCUCACCUAGGCGACGAUCUCUAGCUGGUCUGAGAGGAUGAUCAGCCACACGGGGACUGAGACACGGCCCAGAUUCCUACGGAGGCAGCAGUGGGGAAUAUUGCACAAUGGGCGCAAGCCUGAUGCAGCCAUGCCGCGUGUAUGAAGAAGGCCCUAGGGUUGUAAAGUACUUUCAGUCGGGAGGCGUUACCGACAGAAGAAGCACCGGCUAACUCCGUGCCAGCCGCCGCGGUAAUUC